AACGUACGCUGGCGGCACGCCUAACACAUGCAAGUCGAACGAAGUAGCAAUACUUAGUGGCAGACGGGUGAGUAACAUGUAGGUAUCUGCCCUUUGGCCUGGAAUAACACGAGGAAACUUGUGCUAAUACCGGAUAAGUCUUUACGGAGAAAGCUUUAUGCACCAUUGGAUGAGCCUGCACUUGAUUAGUUUGUUGGUGGGGUAAUGGCCUACCAAGACUGUGAUCAAUAGCUGAUUUGAGAGGAUGAUCAGCCACACUGGGACUGAGACACGGCCCAGACUCCUACGGGAGGCAGCAGUAGGGAAUCUUGGGCAAUGGGCGAAAGCCUGACCCAGCGAUGCCGCGUGUGCGAAGAAGGCCCUUGGGUUGUAAAGCUCUUUCGUCGGGGAAGAAAAUGACUGUACCCGAAUAAGAAGGUCCGGUUAACUUCGUGCCAGCAGCCGCGGUAAUACGAAGGGACCUAGCGUAGUUCGGAAUUACUGGGCUUAAAGAGUUCGUAGGUGGUUGAAAAAGUUGGUGGUGAAAUCCCAGAGCUUAACUCUGGAACUGCCAUCAAAACUUUUCAGCUAGAGUAUGAUAGAGGAAAGCAGAAUUUCUAGUGUAGAGGUGAAAUUCGUAGAUAUUAGAAAGAAUACCAAUUGCGAAGGCAGCUUUCUGGAUCAUUACUGACACUGAGGAACGAAAGCAUGGGUAGCGAAGAGGAUUAGAUACCCUCGUAGUCCAUGCCGUAAACGAUGUGUGUUAGACGUUGGAAAUUUAUUUUCAGUGUCGCAGCGAAAGCGAUAAACACACCGCCUGGGGAGUACGACCGCAAGGUUA
RNAcentral lists this ribosomal RNA (820 nucleotides) under uncultured marine bacterium. RNAcentral describes it as "bacterial SSU rRNA". It matches the Rfam family "Bacterial small subunit ribosomal RNA", at positions 28 to 896 of the family's 1533-position model. The record is from RNAcentral.